AUGCUCCACUCGCGGCGCGACGCCUUCAAGUUGCGGUCCAUGUGCCCGGGAUGGCGCGCCGCGCUGCCGUUCACCAAGUACUUGGCGCCGAUGCUGAUGAUGCUGCCCUUCUGCCCCAACUCACCGGACAUCGCCGUCACCUUCUUCACAGCGGCAGACGGCGGGGAGACGACCUUGACGAGGAACCUUCCGCGAGGCAAGACACUGUGCGACUCAUUGCGUGGGUGGCUGGCGCUGGUCGACGAGGCCGGGUGCGUGACACUGCUCAACCCGCUGACCGGCGCCACGGUCGAGCUCCCGCCUGCCGACGAGCGCGUCCUGGCGGCCUCCUGUAGGCAUUACACGUUUCCGGACGGCAACUGGGUCAUCCUUCCUGCCUGCCGCGGCCAACACGAGUGGGUCAGGCUAGAAGAGAUGAAGAAGAGUGAGAUCUUCCGCGAGAUUGUGCUCUCCUCGUCCUCGCCCGGCUCCGGAGACUGCGUGGCGAUGGCGGCGCUAGCGGAGUCGAGCACCGUCGCGUUCUGCCGCGUGGGCGUCGAUGUUGCAUGGACGUUGCUCGACACCAACGGGCCAAAAAGCUGCGUCACGUCCGUGGUUCACUUCGGCGGCAGCAGGUUCCUGGCGAUCUUCAACGGGCAUAACGGCAGGUUUGUCUCCCCGGAAGUGGCGGUAGUGGGAGCGAUCUCUAUCUGCGACGUUGCCGGCGCAGCUCCCACGGCGACGUGGAUUCGAUCUUUGCAUGCAGCUCCCAAAAAGAAAUCGGAUUGGGCCUGCAAGUAUAUGCAAGUGAAUGGCGAGCUGUACCUCGUCGCCUCCAAAGUGCCGGGCUGCACCAACCUCUGCCGGGUCUACAAGAGCAAUAUCUUCGCUAAGAGGCCGAAGUGGAUCAGGGUGAAGAACUUCCCCGGAGUGACACUGUUAGUGUCGACUAAUUUCACCAAGGGCGACAGUGAAGGAGCAGCAAGCGUCUCCGGGUUCAAGGAGAACUCGAUCUACUGCAUGGACUAUAACGUGUACCGUAAUCAGUUAGAGUUAAAGAUCAUUGACAUCACCAAUGGGACGUGCGAGUUCCAGCCUUUCCACGGAAAGAUUCAGGAUUCAGCUGGGACUCUUUGCUGGAUUCAACACAAUCAUUGGAAAUAA
Molecule: ribosomal RNA, 1143 nt
Filed under: Triticum aestivum (bread wheat)
Lineage: Eukaryota; Viridiplantae; Streptophyta; Magnoliopsida; Poales; Poaceae
Description: partial small subunit ribosomal RNA
Source: RNAcentral